CAUGGUCAAAAUGACAGAUCAGGUGGCCGAUCUUAAAAUAAAUCAAUGUUGAUUUUUUAAUAGAGUGUUAAAGUUUUGCGAAGCCAGGGGGCGGGGCUACUUGAUUGACAGUCUGGUCUGGAAUGAAUGACAGGUCCUAUGGAGGAGGAAGCAGAGAUUCUGUUCUCCUUGUUUGGAUUAAUUCUGAUAUAAUAACUGUUGGUUUAUUUAUUGGUAGAGCAGCAGAACCUUUUCCACAGACAGUUUUCCUCCCCGUUGGCUUGUUUUAACCAGUUUUCUGCCUUCGGCUGAUUCUAACAGCAGACACUGAAAGGACACUGUUAGUUUGAGUGAAAGUAGCAGUUCCUCCUGAAGGUCAGAGAUUGAAGCAUCUGAGGGCCUCUUCAAAAGAAGACGUAGUUGAUGAAGGCGUUCUGGAGCAGGACCAGAAAGACCACGACCAAACAGCCUUGAGAUCUUAGGCAGCGUCUUCCUCAGGUCCCUCUCUAUCUCCCCACACAUCCACCAACCACUGGAACACAUCUCCAAAGUUCUGCCGGGCCAGCUCAGCUUCCCCUCAGAAGAAGUGGCGCCACCUGCCAGAUGAAGGAGCCUGUUGAGAGGCAGCUGGCAUCGUGAUUGGACUGUACUUUGGUCUGUUCCAGUCCAGCUUCAGCUCCAGAGACGGCAGGUGGGACGAGUCAACGGAGGCCGGGUGGACGAAGACAUGCAGCUGAGUACAAUCCAGAAAACAACAGAGGAGGAGUGCAGCAGCCCAGAGCCAGAACAAACAGAGUAGCAUCUUAUGUCUCUUAGAAAACAUCAUAGUAUAGCCUUUAGUAUGAAAAAACGCCAUAAUAUACAUCGUAUAUUGUAUAAAUAACAAGUCAAAGGAAAGAGACAUACAUUGUAGAAUUGUAGUAAUUGUGGGCUAACUGAUUUACUGAUUACCAGUAUUUUAUUUUUUACUGAUUUACGGUAAUAAAUAAAUUUAAAA
This is a long non-coding RNA of Amphiprion ocellaris (clown anemonefish), 976 nucleotides long. RefSeq lists it as uncharacterized. NCBI's taxonomy places the organism in Eukaryota, Metazoa, Chordata, Actinopteri, Pomacentridae. The record is from RefSeq and is a predicted model, not a curated record. The transcript has 3 exons.